RNAcentral lists this small RNA (128 nucleotides) under Marmota monax (woodchuck). The record is from RNAcentral. Lineage: Eukaryota; Metazoa; Chordata; Mammalia; Rodentia; Sciuridae.
GCUGGGUGUGGUGGUGCACACCUGUAAUUCCAUCAGCUCUGGAGGCUGAGAAAGGAGGAUCCCAAGUUCCAGGUCAGCCUCAGCAACUUAGUGAGGCCCUAAGCAACUUAAGUGAGACCCUGUUUCAA